Molecule: ribosomal RNA, 495 nt
Filed under: uncultured bacterium
Lineage: Bacteria
Description: partial 16S ribosomal RNA
Rfam family: Bacterial small subunit ribosomal RNA
Source: RNAcentral
GAUGAACGCUGGCGGCGUGCCUAAUACAUGCAAGUAGAACGCUGAAGGAGGAGCUUGCUCUUCUGGAUGAGUUGCGAACGGGUGAGUAACGCGUAGGUAACCUGCCUGGUAGCGGGGGAUAACUAUUGGAAACGAUAGCUAAUACCGCAUGACAACAGUUAUUGCAUGAUAACUGUUUAAAAGGGGCAACUGCUCCACUACCAGAUGGACCUGCGUUGUAUUAGCUAGUUGGUGAGGUAACGGCUCACCAAGGCGACGAUACAUAGCCGACCUGAGAGGGGGAUCGGCCACACUGGGACUGGGACACGGCCCAGACUCCUACGGGGGGCAGCAGUAGGGGAACUUCGGCAAUGGACGGAAGUCUGACCGAGCAACGCCGCGGGAGUGAAGAAGGUUUUCGGAUCGUAAAGCUCUGUUGUAAGGGAAGAACGAGUGUGAGAGUGGAAAGUUCACACUGUGACGGUAUCUUACCAGAAAGGGACGGCUAACUACGUG